CGAACCUUCGGCGUCUACCAUGCAGUCGACGGUGAGCAGAGCUUGCUCUGUGGAUCAGUGGCGAACGGGUGAGUAACACGUGAGCAAUCUGCCCCUGACUCUGGGAUAAGCGCUGGAAACGGCGUCUAAUACCGGAUACGAGCUGCGACCGCAUGGUCAGUAGCUGGAAAGAAUUUCGGUCAGGGAUGAGCUCGCGGCCUAUCAGCUUGUUGGUGAGGUAAUGGCUCACCAAGGCGUCGACGGGUAGCCGGCCUGAGAGGGUGACCGGCCACACUGGGACUGAGACACGGCCCAGACUCCUACGGGAGGCAGCAGUGGGGAAUAUUGCACAAUGGGCGCAAGCCUGAUGCAGCAACGCCGCGUGAGGGAUGACGGCCUUCGGGUUGUAAACCUCUUUUAGCAGGGAAGAAGCGAAAGUGACGGUACCUGCAGAAAAAGCGCCGGCUAACUACGUGCCAGCAGCCGCGGUAAUACGUAGGGCGCAAGCGUUAUCCGGAAUUAUUGGGCGUAAAGAGCUCGUAGGCGGUCUGUCGCGUCUGCUGUGAAAACCCGAGGCUCAACCUCGGGCCUGCAGUGGGUACGGGCAGACUAGAGUGCGGUAGGGGAGAUUGGAAUUCCUGGUGUAGCGGUGGAAUGCGCAGAUAUCAGGAGGAACACCGAUGGCGAAGGCAGAUCUCUGGGCCGUAACUGACGCUGAGGAGCGAAAGGGUGGGGAGCAAACAGGCUUAGAUACCCUGGUAGUCCACCCCGUAAACGUUGGGAACUAGUUGUGGGGUCCAUUCCACGGAUUCCGUGACGCAGCCUAACGCAUUAAGUUCCCCGCCCUGGGGGAGUACGGGCCGCAAGGGCUAAAACUCAAAGGAAAUUUGACGGGG
RNAcentral lists this ribosomal RNA (875 nucleotides) under Microbacterium arborescens. RNAcentral's name for it is "bacterial SSU rRNA". It matches the Rfam family "Bacterial small subunit ribosomal RNA", at positions 30 to 918 of the family's 1533-position model. Lineage: Bacteria; Bacillati; Actinomycetota; Actinomycetes; Micrococcales; Microbacteriaceae. The record is from RNAcentral.